GAGAAACCGAUGAGGAAGAGGAGUAUCUGACCUAUGUAUCGCCACAGAGAGUUCCGGAUGGUGGAAACGGAACGCCUUACCGUCAGUGAAUGGACUUCCGAGGGCAGCCUUGAACGAUUGCUUCAGUAGAGGCUGACGGGACCCCACCCGUUAUCCAUCGGGGCACGUAUGAUGGUACGUGUAAGCGAGUGGACAUUUUCACAAAUGUCAAUUUGGGUGGUAUCGCAGAAGUUUACGCUUUUGUCCCAUGU
This 251-nucleotide non-coding RNA is filed under the name Clostridium sp. RNAcentral describes it as "T-box sequence". It matches the Rfam family "T-box leader". From Rfam's summary of the family: Uncharged tRNA acts as the effector for transcription antitermination of genes in the T-box leader family. T-boxes are found upstream of many aminoacyl-tRNA synthetase genes and some amino acid biosynthetic genes usually in Gram-positive bacteria. The record is from RNAcentral. Lineage: Bacteria; Bacillati; Bacillota; Clostridia; Eubacteriales; Clostridiaceae.